RNAcentral lists this long non-coding RNA (615 nucleotides) under Lingula anatina. RNAcentral describes it as "uncharacterized LOC106163315, transcript variant X2". Lineage: Eukaryota; Metazoa; Brachiopoda; Lingulata; Lingulida; Lingulidae. The record is from RNAcentral.
UGCAGUGUAUGAAUUAAAUAGUAGGAGAAACGAGAGGUAAGAUUCAGUCUGUGGAGCCAGUAGUUUCACUAGAGUUCCACAGGUAGCUUGUUUAUCGAAAUGAGCUCUAACGAACUUCUAAUGAGUACUUGGAUCGACAAGAUGCUGCUCCGGAGGUAAUUGUUGUACUAGCACAGGUGUAGCAGACAAGAUCCGAGAAAUGGCAAAUUCGCCCAAAGAACUGAAAUCAUAAAUGUUGAGGGGGAAUGUGGUAUAGGGGAAUGGCAAUGCAGUGCAGUGUUCCCUUUACCUGAAUGUUAGAUGAAAAUUGAAAACGAAGAGCGAACUUUGAAGUAAUUGACUAAAAGACAAUGUUAUACCAAGAAGAAUUCAUGCUAAGUGGUGCAGACCCUUAAAGCUGACCCAUUUGAGGAGACAGCUACGUAUGGUUUUUAACAGAUGCUUCCUGGGGAAGAUUGCAGCUGUACGUAGACGCCAUUAUGAGAGAAUGAUCACUUGAAACAACGGAUUUCGAUAUGGAGUGAUAUGAGAUUUUUGAUCACAAAAAAAGAUUUACGGAAAUACCAGUGCAUUUAAAACGAUGAAACUUGUCAAUAUCUUAUAUAUCGGGCUGUG